CGUAGGGUGCGAGCGUUAAUCGGAAUUACUGGGCGUAAAGCGUGCGCAGGCGAUUUUGUAAGACAGAUGUGAAAUCCCCGGGCUCAACCUGGGACCUGCAUUUGUGACUGCAAGGCUAGAGUACGGUAGAGGGGGAUGGAAUUCCGUGUGUAGCAGUGAAAUGCGUAGAUAUGCGGAGGAACACCGAUGGCGAAGGCAAUCCCCUGGACCUGUACUGACGCUCAUGCACGAAAGCGUGGGGAGCAAACAGGAUUAGAUACCCUGGUAGUCCACGCCCUAAAUGAUGUCAACUGGUUGUUGGGUCUUUACUGACUCAGUAACGAAGCUAACGCGUGAAGUUGACCGCCUGGGGAGUACGGCCGCAAGGUUG
This 370-nucleotide ribosomal RNA is filed under the name uncultured organism. RNAcentral describes it as "bacterial SSU rRNA". It matches the Rfam family "Bacterial small subunit ribosomal RNA", at positions 526 to 896 of the family's 1533-position model. The record is from RNAcentral.